CAGAAACCGGCGCACGGGUGCGUAACGCGUAUGCAACCUACCUUUCACAGGGGGAUAGCCCGAAGAAAUUUGGAUUAAUACCCCAUAAUAUUAUUGGAUGGCAUCAUUUGAUAAUUAAAAUUACGAUGGUGAAAGAUGGGCAUGCGUCCUAUUAGCUAGUUGGAGUGGUAACGGCACCCCAAGGCUACGAUAGGUAGGGGUCCUGAGAGGGAGAUCCCCCACACUGGUACUGAGACAGGGACCAGACUCCUACGGGAGGCAGCAGUGAGGAAUAUUGGUCAAUGGUCGGAAGACUGAACCAGCCAUGCCGCGUGCAGGAAGAAUGCCUUAUGGGUUGUAAACUGCUUUUAUAUGGGAAGAAUAAGGAGUACGUGUACUUUGAUGACGGUACCAUAUGAAUAAGCAUCGGCUAACUCCGUGCCAGCAGCCGCGGUAAUACGGAGGAUGCGAGCGUUAUUCGGAAUCAUUGGGUUUAAAGGGUCUGUAGGCGGGCUAUUAAGUCAGGGGUGAAAGGUUUCAGCUUAACUGAGAAAUUGCCUUUGAUACUGGUAGUCUUGAAUAUCUGUGAAGUUCUUGGAAUGUGUAGUGUAGCGGUGAAAUGCUUAGAUAUUACACAGAACACCGAUUGC
This 629-nucleotide ribosomal RNA is filed under the name uncultured bacterium. Its description in RNAcentral is "bacterial SSU rRNA". It matches the Rfam family "Bacterial small subunit ribosomal RNA", at positions 89 to 716 of the family's 1533-position model. The record is from RNAcentral.